Molecule: ribosomal RNA, 253 nt
Filed under: uncultured bacterium
Lineage: Bacteria
Description: partial 16S ribosomal RNA
Rfam family: Bacterial small subunit ribosomal RNA
Source: RNAcentral
UACAGAGGUCCCAAGCGUUGUUCGGAUUCACUGGGCGUAAAGGGUGCGUAGGCGGUUGGGUAAGUCUGAUGUGAAAUCUCACAGCUUAACUGUGAAACUGCAUUGGAUACUAUCCAACUCGAGGAAUGGAGGGGAGACUGGAAUUCCUGGUGUAGCGGUGAAAUGCGCAGAUAUCAGGAGGAACACCGGUGGCGAAGGCGGGUCUCUGGGCCGAUACUGACGCUGAGGAGCGAAAGCGUGGGGAGCGAACAGG